This 809-nucleotide ribosomal RNA is filed under the name uncultured bacterium. RNAcentral's name for it is "bacterial SSU rRNA". It matches the Rfam family "Bacterial small subunit ribosomal RNA", at positions 1 to 810 of the family's 1533-position model. The record is from RNAcentral.
GAAUUCGCCCUUAGAGGUUGAUCCUGGCUCAGGACUAACGCUGGCGGCGUGCCUAAUACAUGCAAGUCGAACGGUCGUGCGUUUGUAGCAAUAUGGACGUACGAUAGUGGCGAACGGGUGAGUAACACGUGGAAAACCUACCCUCGAGCGGGGGAUAACUCCGGGGAACUGGGGCUAAUACCGCAUGACAUCCCAACCUGGCAUCGGGAGGGGAUCAAAGCCGAAAGGCACUUGAGGAUGGUUCCGCGGCCUAUCAGCUAGUUGGCGGGGUAACGGCCCACCAAGGCGACGACGGGUAGCCGGCCUGAGAGGGCGAUCGGCCACAAGGGGACUGAGACACGGCCCCUACUCCUACGGGAGGCAGCAGUAGGGAAUUUUGCUCAAUGGGGGAAACCCUGAAGCAGCGACGCCGCGUGGGCGACGAAAUCCUUCGGGAUGUAAAGCCCUUUUAACCGGGACGAAAUACAUGACGGUACCGGUGGAAUAAGCCUCGGCUAACUCCGUGCCAGCAGCCGCGGUAAGACGGGGGAGGCAAGCGUUGUCCGGAAUCACUGGGUGUAAAGGGCGUGUAGGCGGGCCGGCUAGUCGGUUGUUAAAUCUCUCCGCUCAACGGAGAAGCUGCGGCCGAUACUUCCGGUCUUGAGUGCGGCAGGGGAGGAUGGGAUUCCUGGUGUAGCGGUGAAAUGCGUAGAUAUCAGGAGGAACACCGGUGGCGAAGGCGGUCCUCUGGGCCUGCACUGACGCUGAGUGCGCGAAAGCUGGGGUAGCAAACAGAAUUAGAUACUCUGGUAGUCCCAGCCCUAAACGAU